AUGCAUGUCUAAGUACAGGCCUAAGCAAGGCGAAACCGCGAAUGGCUCAUUAAAUCAGUUAUGGUUCAUUGGAUCUUACCCUUUCUUACUUGGAUAACUGUGGUAAUUCUAGAGCUAAUACAUGCCAACCAGUAGCUCCGACAUACUCCCGUAUGGAAGAGCGCUUUUAUUAGAUCAAAACCAGUCCUCCCCCGGGAGGUCAAACCCCUUCGUGGUGACUCUGAAUAACUUUUAGCUGAGCGCACGGUCUCCGCGCCGGCGCCGCAUCUUUCAAGUGUCUGCCUUAUCAGCUUUCGAUUGUAGGUUAUGCGCCUACAAUGGCUAUAACGGGUAACGGGGAAUCAGGGUUCGAUUCCGGAGAGGGAGCCUGAGAAACGGCUACCACA
This 386-nucleotide ribosomal RNA is filed under the name Hansarsia sp. USNM IZ 1450516. Its description in RNAcentral is "SSU rRNA". It matches the Rfam family "Eukaryotic small subunit ribosomal RNA", at positions 51 to 414 of the family's 1831-position model. RNAcentral also lists the same sequence under 1 other name. The record is from RNAcentral. Lineage: Eukaryota; Metazoa; Arthropoda; Malacostraca; Euphausiacea; Euphausiidae.